This 269-nucleotide ribosomal RNA is filed under the name uncultured Pseudomonas sp. RNAcentral describes it as "partial 16S ribosomal RNA". It matches the Rfam family "Bacterial small subunit ribosomal RNA", at positions 1120 to 1382 of the family's 1533-position model. Lineage: Bacteria; Pseudomonadati; Pseudomonadota; Gammaproteobacteria; Pseudomonadales; Pseudomonadaceae. The record is from RNAcentral.
AGCACGUUAUGGUGGGCACUCUAAGGAGACUGCCGGUGACAAACCGGAGGAAGGUGGGGAGUGACGGUCAAGUACAUCAUGGCCCUUACGGCCUGGGCUACACACGUGCUACAAUGGUCGGUACAAAGGGUUGCCAAGCCGCGAGGUGGAGCUAAUCCCAUAAAACCGAUACGUACGUCCGGAUCGCAGUCUGCAACUCGACUGCGUGAAGCUGGAAUCGCUAGUAAUCGCGCAUCAGCCAUGGCGCGGUGAAUACGUUCCCGGGCCUU